UACGUAGGGACCGAGCGUUGUCCGGAAUCAUUGGGCGUAAAGAGCGUGUAGGCGGCCACUUAAGUCCUGCGUGAAAUCUUGCGGCUCAACCGCAAGCGGUCGUGGGAAACUGGGUGGCUAGAGUGCGGGAGAGGAGAGUGGAAUUCCUGGUGUAGCGGUGGAAUGCGCAGAUAUCAGGAAGAACACCCGUGGCGAAGGCGGCUCUCUGGAACGCAACUGACGCUGAGACGCGAAAAGCGUGGGGGAGCAAACAGG
RNAcentral lists this ribosomal RNA (255 nucleotides) under uncultured bacterium. RNAcentral describes it as "partial 16S ribosomal RNA". It matches the Rfam family "Bacterial small subunit ribosomal RNA", at positions 524 to 776 of the family's 1533-position model. The record is from RNAcentral.